RNAcentral lists this ribosomal RNA (253 nucleotides) under uncultured bacterium. RNAcentral describes it as "partial 16S ribosomal RNA". It matches the Rfam family "Bacterial small subunit ribosomal RNA", at positions 524 to 776 of the family's 1533-position model. The record is from RNAcentral.
UACAUGGGGUGCAAACGUUGCUCGGAAUCAUUGGGCGUAAAGCGCGUGAAGGCGGUUACUUAAGUCGGAUGUGAAAGCCCUCGGCUUAACUGAGGAAGUGCAUCCGAAACUGGGUAGCUAGAGUACGAAAGAGGGUCGCGGAAUUCCCGGUGUAGAGGUGAAAUUCGUAGAUAUCGGGAGGAACACCGGUGGCGAAGGCGGCGACCUGGGUCGAGACUGACGCUAAUACGCGAAAGCGUGGGGAGCAAACAGG